CUGACUAUAGUCCUGCAAGGAGAGAGGAAGAACAAGACUCUGAAUAUAAACUAAAAAUUAUACAUUGUGAUUUAUAAAUGAAGGCAUAUACGUAAAAUUUGAUUCUAAAUUAUAUGUACAAUAGCAGUUGAUCUGUUCUAUUAUUUUAGAGAUUCGUAAAAAUUAAAUUGUAAUUCAAUUAUCGAACUUCUACCAGUAAUAUUGAACUUAUUGUUAUAUUUCUUCAUUCCCAAUAAUUUUAACUUCCAUAAUUUUGCAG
RNAcentral lists this long non-coding RNA (259 nucleotides) under Daucus carota (carrot). RNAcentral describes it as "long non-coding RNA (DCAR_LNC005204)". The record is from RNAcentral. Lineage: Eukaryota; Viridiplantae; Streptophyta; Magnoliopsida; Apiales; Apiaceae.